UGGGAAAUCAUGUCACAUGAAGCUAGAGGC
This 30-nucleotide non-coding RNA is filed under the name Rattus norvegicus (Norway rat). The record is from RNAcentral. Lineage: Eukaryota; Metazoa; Chordata; Mammalia; Rodentia; Muridae.